ACGUAGGUGGCGAGCGUUAUCCGGAAUGAUUGGGCGUAAAGGGUGCGUAGGUGGCAGAUCAAGUCUGGAGUAAAAGGUAUGGGCUCAACCCGUACUGGCUCUGGAAACUGAUCAGCUAGAGAACAGAAGAGGACGGCGGAACUCCAUGUGUAGCGGUAAAAUGCGUAGAUAUAUGGAAGAACACCGGUAGCGAAGGCGGCCGUCUGGUCUGGAUACUGACACUGAAGCACGAAAGCGUGGGGAGCAAAUAG
This 251-nucleotide ribosomal RNA is filed under the name uncultured bacterium. RNAcentral describes it as "partial 16S ribosomal RNA". It matches the Rfam family "Bacterial small subunit ribosomal RNA", at positions 525 to 775 of the family's 1533-position model. The record is from RNAcentral.